RNAcentral lists this ribosomal RNA (497 nucleotides) under uncultured bacterium. RNAcentral describes it as "partial 16S ribosomal RNA". It matches the Rfam family "Bacterial small subunit ribosomal RNA", at positions 28 to 507 of the family's 1533-position model. The record is from RNAcentral.
GAUGAACGCUGGCGGCGUGCCUAAUACAUGCAAGUCGAGCGAACAGACGAGGAGCUUGCUCCUCUGACGUUAGCGGCGGACGGGUGAGUAACACGUGGAUAACCUACCUAUAAGACUGGGAUAACUUCGGGAAACCGGAGCUAAUACCGGAUAAUAUAUUGAACCGCAUGGUUCAAUAGUGAAAGACGGUUUUGCUGUCACUUAUGGAUGGAUCCGCGCCGCAUUAGCUAGUUGGUAAGGUAACGGCUUACCAAGGCGACGAUGCGUAGCCGACCUGAGAGGGUGAUCGGCCACACUGGAACUGAGACACGGUCCAGACUCCUACGGGAGGCAGCAGUAGGGAAUCUUCCGCAAUGGGCGAAAGCCUGACGGAGCAACGCCGCGUGAGUGAUGAAGGUCUUCGGAUCGUAAAACUCUGUUAUUAGGGAAGAACAAAUGUGUAAGUAACUACGCACGUCUUGACGGUACCUAAUCAGAAAGCCACGGCUAACUACGUG